UAGGGAAUCUUCCACAAUGGACGAAAGUCUGAUGGAGCAACGCCGCGUGAGUGAAGAAGGGUUUCGGCUCGUAAAACUCUGUUGUUAAAGAAGAACAUAUCUGAGAGUAACUGUUCGGGUAUUGACGGUAUUUAACCAGAAAGCCACGGCUAACUACGUGCCAC
This 164-nucleotide ribosomal RNA is filed under the name uncultured bacterium. Its description in RNAcentral is "partial 16S rRNA". It matches the Rfam family "Bacterial small subunit ribosomal RNA", at positions 355 to 511 of the family's 1533-position model. The record is from RNAcentral.